RNAcentral lists this ribosomal RNA (277 nucleotides) under uncultured bacterium. RNAcentral's name for it is "partial 16S ribosomal RNA". It matches the Rfam family "Bacterial small subunit ribosomal RNA", at positions 28 to 315 of the family's 1533-position model. The record is from RNAcentral.
GAUUAACGCUGGCGGCGUGCCUAACACAUGCAAGUCGAACGAGGUAGCAAUACCUAGUGGCAGACGGGUGAGUAACGCGUGGUCAACCUACCGUUGAGUGGGGGAUAACUAGCCGAAAGGUUAGCUAAUACCGCAUACGAGUUUCGGGGGCAUCCCUGGGACUUAAAAGGAGCAAUCCGCUCGAUGACGGGACCGCGUCCCAUUAGCUAGAUGGUGGGGUAAUGGCCUACCAUGGCACCGAUGGGUAGCUGGUUUGAGAGAGCGACCAGCCACACUG